UACACUCCUACGGGAGGCAGCAGUGGGGAAUAUUGGACAAUGGGCGCAAGCCUGAUCCAGCCAUGCCGCGUGAGUGAUGAAGGCCCUAGGGUUGUAAAGCUCUUUCACCGGUGAAGAUAAUGACGGUAACCGGAGAAGAAGCCCCGGCUAACUUCGUGCCAGCAGCCGCGGUAAUACGAAGGGGGCUAGCGUUGUUCUGAUUUACUGGGCGUAAAGCGCACGUAGGCGGACUAUUAAGUCAGGGGUGAAAUCCCGGGGCUCAACCCCGGAACUGCCUUUGAUACUGGUAGUCUUGAGUUCGAGAGAGGUGAGUGGGAUUCCGAGUGUAGAGGUGAAAUUCGUAAAUAUUCGGAGGAACACCAGUGGCGAAGGCGGCUCACUGGCUCGAUACUGACGCUGAGGUGCGAAAGCGUGGGGAGCAAACAGGAUUAGAAACCCCUGUAGUCCCAU
RNAcentral lists this ribosomal RNA (450 nucleotides) under uncultured organism. RNAcentral's name for it is "partial 16S ribosomal RNA". It matches the Rfam family "Bacterial small subunit ribosomal RNA", at positions 332 to 798 of the family's 1533-position model. The record is from RNAcentral.